GUCAAAAACUGUUACAAAAACCACAUAAAAAUACAUAACUCUUAUAAUACAAUGUUUAACCUAUAUGUCCAACAUAUCCCCAGAUAGCUUGGAUCUGAGCGCUCAAUAUGUCCAAUGUUAAAAGUGCCCUAUAGUACAAGGAAGGGUGGGGUCAGACAAUAGCAAGGGCUGAUGAGAGAUUGAGGAGGGACAAAGCAGCCAGUUUCAACUGGUCUGGUAGUGUCCCUAGGAUAACACCCUGC
Molecule: non-coding RNA, 242 nt
Organism: Pelobates cultripes (western spadefoot toad)
Lineage: Eukaryota; Metazoa; Chordata; Amphibia; Anura; Pelobatidae
Source: the annotation of a GenBank genome assembly